This 72-nucleotide transfer RNA is filed under the name Felis catus (domestic cat). It matches the Rfam family "tRNA". Rfam says of the family: Transfer RNA (tRNA) molecules are approximately 80 nucleotides in length. RNAcentral also lists the same sequence under 2 other names. The record is from Rfam by way of RNAcentral. Lineage: Eukaryota; Metazoa; Chordata; Mammalia; Carnivora; Felidae.
ACCUGGCUGGCUCAGUUGGAAGAGCACGUGACUCUCGAUCUUAGGGCUUGGGUUCAAGCCCCACACUGGGUG